UGGCGGCGUGCCUAAUACAUGCAAGUCGAGCGAUGAGGCCCCUUCGGGGGUACAUCAGCGGCAAACGGGUGAGUAACACGUGGGUGACCUACCCUGAAGACGGGGACAACCCUUGGAAACGGGGGCUAAUACCCGAUGUGCUCGGUCAUUCGGUUGGUCGAGUAAAGGCUGAGGCGCUUCAGGAUGGGCCUGCGGCCCAUCAGCUAGUUGGUAGGGUAACGGCCUACCAAGGCGGAGACGGGUAGGGGGCGUGAGAGCGCGGUCCCCCACACUGGCACUGCGACACGGGCCAGACUCCUACGGGAGGCAGCAGUAAGGAAUCUUGCGCAAUGGGCGAAAGCCAGACGCAGCGACGCCGCGUGGGCGAAGAAGGCCUUCGGGUUGUAAAGCCCUUUUCCAGGGGAAGAGGAAGGACGGUACCCUGGGAAUAAGUCCCGGCUAGCUAUGUGCCAGCAGCCGCGGUAAGACAUAGGGGACGAGCGUUAUCCGGAUUUACUGGGCGUAAAGAGCGUUGAGGCGGUUCCGUAAGUUGGAUGUGAAAGCCCCGGGCUUAACUCGGGGAGGUCGUUCAAUACUGCGGGGCUAGAGGGCAGCAGAGGGAGGUGGAAUUCCCGGUGUAGUGGUGAAAUGCGUAGAUAUCGGGAGGAACACCCGUGGCGAAGGCGGCCUCCUGGGCUGACCCUGACGCUGAAUGCGAAAGCUAGGGGAGCGAACGGGAUUAGAUACCCCGGUAGUCCUAGCUGUAAACGAUGGAUGCUGGGUGUGGGGGGUAUAAAUUCCCUCUGUGCCGAAGCUAACGCGUUAAGCAUCCCGCCUGGGGACUACGGCCGCAAGGCUAAAACUCAAACGAAUUGACGGAGGCCCGCACAAGCAGCGGAGCGUGUGGUUUAAUUCGAUGCUACACGAAGAACCUUACCUGGGCUUGACAUGCACGUGGUAGGGAACCGAAAGGGGACCGACCUUCGGGAGCGUGCACAGGUGCUGCAUGGCUGUCGUCAGCUCGUGCCGUGAGGUGUCGGGUUAAGUCUCGUAACGAGCGCAACCCUUGCCCUUAGUUAUACGUGUCUAAGGGGACUGCCCGGGAUAACCGGGAGGAAGGUGGGGAUGACGUCAAGUCAGCAUGGCCUUUAUGUCCAGGGCUACACACACGCUAC
Molecule: ribosomal RNA, 1154 nt
Filed under: uncultured organism
Description: bacterial SSU rRNA
Rfam family: Bacterial small subunit ribosomal RNA
Source: RNAcentral